GCUCCGGUGGCCUAGUGGUUAGAGCGUCUGCCUCGGACGCGUGAGGUCGUGGGUUCGCAUCCAGGCUGAAUCA
Non-coding RNA from Potamilus streckersoni, 73 nucleotides. The record is from the annotation of a GenBank genome assembly. Lineage: Eukaryota; Metazoa; Mollusca; Bivalvia; Unionida; Unionidae.